ACAUUUCAGCUGGAGAAGGAAAACUCUGUAGAAGAGAAAAUAAUGGGCAAGGGAUUUUCCCCUGAAAGUGGAGCGGUCAAAGUGCAGCUCUAGGAAACGAGUUGUUCUUUUCUGUGGCUCGGGGAACAGGAGAUGACGGAUAUCCUCUAAACUUACGGUGAUCAUCAUUACAUGAUGAGAACCAAUACAAGGAAGUAUUAUCAAGUUGGCUACUACCAUGGGAAAGUUAACAAAAGUCAACCUGCUCUACAAUCCUGUGAAUGAACGUGCAAAGGAAUCAGCCUGGGCUUGGUGCAGAGCUACCUGGACUAGAUUUCUGAGAAAUCUAAUGUCAGCCAGAGAAGCGCCCCAACUGAGGAACUUAAGGAUGAACCAAAGCUUCAGAGCAAAAGCACGUCAGCUAAGUUUGUACCAACAUGCAUGGUGGAGUACAUACACAUUAGUCUUCCAUGGACUACCAUAAGGGACCUUGAACUUUUUGUUUGCACAUCAGUUAAAAUAAUACUGAAAAAUCUUUUUAUUUCUUCCACAUUAGGUUAACAGCCAAAAUAGUUUACUCUAAGUUUAAGUUGUUGAAAAUAAUGUAAUUUCUAGCCAAUUAUAAGUAUUAGCCCUACAACAAACUGUCAAAUAAUUAAAAAAAAUUUCCAGUGGAAUCUUGAAACAAUAGCAAUUCAAUAGCCACAAUACCUCAUUUAAAUAUGGGAACAAGAUUAUUUUAAUAAUCAGAAAAUUUAUAUAUACCGUUCCUUUUCUUCUUGAAUUUUCCCUUCCAUUCAACUCCCUCCACAAAUUUUUAAUCUAAUGGAAUUUUUUUAUGCUUGGAUGUCUUAUAUUGAUUACAUACACUCUGAAAAAAUUAAGUAUAUGAAUUGAAAUCUGAAAUUAACAUGUUUUCUAUAAGCCUCUAAUAGAUCUAACUUUAUUACUGUCGUAUGACACAAAGCAACAUGCUUUGCAAAUUUUUAUAGUUAUAUAAUUAUAUCUAUAAACAUAGAAGUAAACUUGAUAUGAGAAAGGCUCACGCAUUCAUAUACAGGUCUAUGGGACUGCAAGGGUAAGCCCCUCUGGCCACCAGUGCCAGGCGAUCUAGAUGAGUCUCCUGGGAGGCAGUUUCAAAAACCACGGCACCAGGCACAUGCGCGUGAUAGGGCAUUUCCGGAGACGCGGGCGCUUAGAGCGCGGAGAGGAAGAGCGCGAACAUGGCGCCGCCCUCCUGUCUCUGUUUCUGGAACGCUCCCCAGCAGGCCGCCAAAUGAGUGUCAACUCAGACGCUUGCCCCUUGGGCGAAGCUCCCAGACAAGCUGAGCGUGUCCCACUCACAGUCCCGGAGCAGCCCGGUCGUCGGCGGGAACCGUGGGGCGGGUGAGUCCGGGCUGGAGUCGUGUGCGUUUUCUAAGCUAGGUAUUUCAGGGGCUUGUCUCUCAGGUGCAGGUCUUAAAGGUUGAAGAUGUUCCAUGUGGGGUUCAGGCCCUUGUCUCCUCGGGGAGAAGCUCGCAUUUUGUGUUCCCUUCUGACGGUGGGGCGCUGUGCUAGGAGGGGGUGGGGUUUAUGGUGAGAUUGUGUCUCAGCCUCUCCUACCGGGUUUGAUGUGGACCUUCUCUUGUUUGUCAGGCAGGUAGGAGUUGCUUAGACAGUGUUUAGGUUUUUUUGUAGAGGCAGUUGUUCCAUACGUAGCUGUAGGUUCGGUGUGUUUGUGGAAGGAGGUGAGUUCGGGAACCUGUUACCGACGUCAUCUUAAACUGGAACCCCCGAAAAAGGUUCAUGAUAAAAUACCUUAGUUUAUCAUCUGCAUCUGAAUAUUACUGAUUAUGGGAAUGAGACGGGGUUCAAUGGAAUAAAACAGCAGCCAAAAAGUGAAAAAUACUAGGUAUACAAAAGGUAUAUUAAUGAUAGCUUAUUCUCAUUAAUCUAAAUCUACCAGAUAUGUAAUAAGAAUAAAUAAGCAAACACAGAAGCGAUUGACGGAGGAUAGCUGUCAGAAAUCUUGGUGCCCAAGUGAAAAGUGAAUAUGGAUUUUCACGUAUAUAAUUGUGAAAGGGAAGUUCCAGAAAGAUCUCUCUACUUUGGUUGUAUUCUCAGAACGAAGCUGAGGAUCGGGAAAAUCAUUGCUUUAAAGUUAUCCGUGCUUGCUUAGCCUUGGAACAUUUUUGUAUGACUCAGGGGUACUUGCAUCCCCAUUCAAAGACCCCUAGUUAUUUGCCACGUUUUAUGAACAUUAUGAAUUCCAUCAUGAUCCAAUAGAACAAAAGCCAUGAGAAUAAUAGAGUGUGUGCAUAAGCAGGGAUGUGCAUUUACACUGGAAAUAAAAGUAGCAAUCAAGGUAGAGCUAAUUUUUUUAAAAAGUGAGAAAAUGAGAAAGUUCAUGUCUGAAUGCAGUAUAGGAAUGAUUCUGAAAGAAGAACGGGCAAAUCAAACAAAUGUGAGAAGUAUUGAUUGUAUCCUACCAGCAAUAUCAGAAAAAGGGAUGAUGAAAACGUAUUUACUGAAUGAAAGAAAAAAAAAAAAAACCGGAAAAGAAAACUGACCUUUUAAGCAUGUGGCUAGAGGAUUCCUGCUACCAUUGCAGGUCAAUGAUCGGAUUAUGAUUCAGGAGAAGAUGUGCAGGUUUUGGGCAAUGUAAAGCCUAAGCUUGGUGGCAGUGUUUCGAUGACCUCUUUCUCAGUAGAUUUCAGGCCCGGUAGCAUCUGGACAUAUAAUAUCAAAGCAUCUGGACAAGGCAGCCUGCGCAGGCACCUACAAACUCACAGGCAUCACCACAAAGGAUGCUGCAGGCCUCAGCAGGCUUUCAAAGUGACUGUGAGUGGCCACCCCUACUAACAGUGAAGGUUUCUCUGGGUCAUACUCAUGCUGUCUCCAGAUUCACUAAAGAUUUAUUAUACUUUACAUCCUGGUUUUCUAUAUUGUAGGGGAAUCAAGAAUGGGACUGUAUUCCCACUUUCAGCAAAUCAGCAUAAAGAAAGCAUAGCAGCCCAGAGGAGACAGCUGGAGGGUAGCAGGGCCUGACUGGUGGGGCUCUGAAGCUGCAGUGUUAUCUUUUAAUUAACAAAUCAAGUAGACAUUUUAAGCUCCUAUAUGUGGGUGUAUUUGGUUUUGUCUUAACCUUUAUAGAUGAUGUUAAAGAUAAUAAUUACCUUUUUUUCACUUAAAGUCCUUGGAGCUCUCUUCAUUCUUUGUGCUUAUUUAUGCUAGGCACAAUUCAGAUAACACUCAUUUUAAAAGUCUCUAACGUGUCAAUCAUAUAUCCAUUUAUUCAUCUAUUCAAGAUAUAUUUAUUGUGCAAAUGCUAUGUACUUGGCAUUGGAAAUAAAGUCGUGGAUCAGGUGGUAAUUAUCCUUGAGCUCAUGGAGCUUAGAGCAUCAUAGGGCAAUAGAUAUUAAAAAAAUAGCCUAAUAACUAUUUAUAAUUGUAUUAAGAAUUUUGAAGAAUAACUUUAAGGCACUACAUAAGUGUACGAGUUGUCAACUAAGUUGUAAUUUCCUUGAAGUCAGGGACCACUUUCUAUACUUCUUUUGGGUUUCUCUGUAGCUCCUAACAUAGAUCAUAAUAUAGAGUAUUAGAUGCUCAAUAAAUAUUUCAUUGAUUACCAUUUCUGUAUUUGAGGCUGAAAUGUCAAAUCAAACAUUUUUACUUCCUCACUGAACAAACGUGAAGGCUGUACUGUAAUUUUAAUUUGUAAUUUGUACCUGAAGCCACUGUUUGCAAAACUCACCGAAGUUGUGACCCUUCUCCUAGACCUGUGCUCAGGCCAGAGGCUAUGUUUACAUAAGGUGAGCUGAAUUCUUGAUCUCUGAAUCCUGUUGAUUGGUUACUGGGUCUCAGUUCAUAGCUCUGUUUUUGUUCAUUGGUUCUCCGUAGAGUUUGAAAGCAGUUCUUUGACUUGCCCUUGGUGUAGUUGCCCCUCCCCUACCUGCCAGGUGGCUGCUGCUCCGGCAUCCUGCCACAGAUCUAACAUGGUGGCUCAGGGUGCUCAAGGUGGCCUCAGCAGCUCGACUGUGUUUCAGGAUUUACAGUGAAGGUUAAAUGGGCUGGUGGGUAAUGCUGUUGGAACCCAAGGAGUUCCGUGUUAGUGUUAUGCCACUGCAGUAUGCUUGCUGAUCGGUCAGGAGCUUCAAUCCACUUGACGGUUAACAACAAAAUAGCAGAUCAAAUCAGGGCCAAAGUGUCUUUUAAGGGAUUGUCUAACAGACAGGCAGUUUUUGUUUGUUUUUUUUAGCAAGUAGCUGUCCAUGUACUCUAACAUGGUGAUAACUUUGAACACUAAGGCAUCACUUGUUUUUCCUGGAGUAGCUGAUAUAUUGGUUUGGCCAAAAAGUUUGUUCGGGUUUUUCCAUAACAUUUUACGGAAUAUUAACUCAGUCAUUUUCAAAAUUAUUCUUAGUCCAUAGCAGUGGACCUAUAGUUAUGUGCAAAGAUCCUUGAAAGUGUAUUUCAAAGGGACCUAAGAGUAAAAAUUGCCUUUUUUAUGGUCUCACAAAACAUGUUUUUGUACCCCUUGAAUUUUCAUGCAUGUCUUUUUCUGCUGCAGUAUAACAAGACGGGUGAGAACAACUUCAUAUGUGUAUCUUUAGUGUAUAUCACCUUGCUCUAGGACUGAGAAUGUAUUCUGUUGGGGGUAUAAAUAAGUAAAUACAUGGUGACUGCUGAAUAUAUGAUGCCAUUUAAGAUGGGAUUUUCUCAGAAGACUCUGGAGAACUUUUGACAAUGGAUCCUGAAUUCCUUCAUUGAGUAUGAAAGUGAAGAAA
Molecule: long non-coding RNA, 4745 nt
Organism: Phocoena sinus (vaquita)
Lineage: Eukaryota; Metazoa; Chordata; Mammalia; Artiodactyla; Phocoenidae
Source: Ensembl